RNAcentral lists this small nucleolar RNA (138 nucleotides) under Chlamydomonas reinhardtii. RNAcentral describes it as "CrACA46a snoRNA". Lineage: Eukaryota; Viridiplantae; Chlorophyta; Chlorophyceae; Chlamydomonadales; Chlamydomonadaceae. The record is from RNAcentral.
GCGCCCCUUAAUCCCUCGAUCAGGCCCAUGCCACGGCUGGUUGAGUUUCAUGCGGGGCGCACAGCACCACGUCCUGCGUGGCGGGAGAUUCGCUGACAACACGUAGCGGCUCGCCGCGAUGAGUGUUUUCUGAUAGUA